This 1120-nucleotide ribosomal RNA is filed under the name uncultured Cryomonadida. RNAcentral describes it as "SSU rRNA". It matches the Rfam family "Eukaryotic small subunit ribosomal RNA", at positions 96 to 1211 of the family's 1831-position model. Lineage: Eukaryota; Cercozoa; Thecofilosea. The record is from RNAcentral.
GCUCAUUAUAUCAGCAAUAAUUUAUUUGAUGGUUUCUUACUACAUGGAUAACUGUAGUAAUUCUAGAGCUAAUACAUGCGUAAAGUCCCAACUCUCGCGGGGAGGGAUGUAUUUAUUAGAUAAAAAACCAAUGCGGGCAACCGCUUUUGUGUUGAAUCAUAGUAACUUUUCGAACGCCAUGGUCUUGUACUGGGCGUAGAUCAUUCAAAUUUCUGCCCUAUCAGCUUUCGACGGUAGUGUAGUGGACUACCGUGGCGUUAACGGGUAACGGGGAAUUAGGGUUCGAUUCCGGAGAGGGAGCCUGAGAAACGGCUACCACAUCCAAGGAAGGCAGCAGGCGCGCAAAUUACCCAAUCCUGACACAGGGAGGUAGUGACAAAAAAUAACAAUACCUGGCCUAAUUAGGUCGGGUAAUUGGAAUGAGUACAAUUUAAAUCCCUUAACGAGGAUCAAUUGGAGGGCAAGUCUGGUGCCAGCAGCCGCGGUAAUUCCAGCUCCAAGAGCAUAUAUUAAAGUUGUUGCAGUUAAAAAGCUCGUAGUUGGAUUUCUGGUCUAAUGCACCUGGCCCGCUGCCGAAAGGCGUGUGAGUGCCGGCGCGCGUUUACCAUCCUUCUAGAAAACAAUUCUGCCAUUAACUUGGUUGGGAUUGCGAUCUAGAUCUUUUACUUUGAAAAAAUUAGAGUGUUUAAAGCAGGCUUUUGCUAUGAAUACAUUAGCAUGGAAUAAUAAUCUAGGACUUCGGUUCUAUUUUGUUGGUUUCUAUAACUGAAGUAAUGAUUGAUAGGGACAGUUGGGGGUGCUAGUAUUGGCCGGCCAGAGGUGAAAUUCUUGGAUUCGGUCAAGACUAACUUAUGCGAAAGCAUUCACCAAGGAUGUCUUCUUUAAUCAAGAACGAAAGUUGGGGGAUCGAAGACGAUCAGAUACCGUCGUAGUCUCAACCAUAAACUAUGCCAACUAGGGAUGGGUGAACGUUGCAUUUUCGACUUCAUCCGCACCUUAUGAGAAAUCAAAGUCUUUGGGUUCCGGGGGGAGUAUGGUCGCAAGGCUGAAACUUAAAGGAAUUGACGGAAGGGCACCACCAGGAGUGGAGCCUGCGGCUUAAUUUGACUCAACACGGAAA